This 64-nucleotide transfer RNA is filed under the name Diaphorina citri (Asian citrus psyllid). It matches the Rfam family "tRNA", at positions 5 to 66 of the family's 71-position model. Rfam says of the family: Transfer RNA (tRNA) molecules are approximately 80 nucleotides in length. Their secondary structure includes four short double-helical elements and three loops (D, anti-codon, and T loops). Further hydrogen bonds mediate the characteristic L-shaped molecular structure. tRNAs have two regions of fundamental functional importance: the anti-codon, which is responsible for specific mRNA codon recognition, and the 3' end, to which the tRNAs corresponding amino acid is attached (by aminoacyl-tRNA synthetases). tRNAs cope with the degeneracy of the genetic code in two manners: having more than one tRNA (with a specific anti-codon) for a particular amino acid; and 'wobble' base-pairing, i.e. permitting non-standard base-pairing at the 3rd anti-codon position. Lineage: Eukaryota; Metazoa; Arthropoda; Insecta; Hemiptera; Psyllidae. The record is from Rfam by way of RNAcentral.
AGGUAGCUUGGUUGGUAGCGCGUGUGCUUUGUAAGCACUAGGCCGCGGGUUCGAUUCCCACCCU